GGGUGCUUAGGGCUUUCUGUCCUGAGCAUAAGUGAGGGAUAUUCUUAAACUUUAAGAAUAAGAAAGCCCCGGGCAACUUUAACGUUAACCCGAGGCUGAUCCUCAACUCCCAACAAGUUGAGGUUAGCCUCUUACUCGCCGCAAGGCAAGGAGUAAAAAGGCAUG
RNAcentral lists this antisense RNA (165 nucleotides) under Buttiauxella sp. JUb87. RNAcentral describes it as "sok antitoxin". It matches the Rfam family "sok antitoxin (CssrC)". Rfam says of the family: Also identified in Shigella as CssrC. The record is from RNAcentral. Lineage: Bacteria; Pseudomonadati; Pseudomonadota; Gammaproteobacteria; Enterobacterales; Enterobacteriaceae.